UCUCAUGAUCUGAAUAAGAAAGCAGUGCUUCAGAAGACAAGGGGUGUAUCCUCCCACUCUUUUAGUGUCAUCAGACAAAUCAAGAAAGAGUUUAAGGAACCCGAUAUCUAACUUGAGGCUCAGAAUUUAAGCUACAACACUUAAAAAAAAAUCAUGUUACUUAAGGAUGGUUCGCCUUGCACAGAGACUCCCUCUAUAAAGGAAUACAUGAAGAAAACCAACUUUUCUAAGUAAGACAUGAAAGUUAACAUCUUGUGUAUUUUCAUUAUAGUAUUAUAUAUAUACAUAUAUAAACUAUUUCAAUGAGAAGGACAGAAUCAUCUGUAAUUAUGUAAUUCAUGAUUGUAACAGCACUGAAGUUAACAUGUACACAUAUGUACAGUAGCUAUUUCAACAGUUACAGUGUAGUUACAUGUACUUCCCUGUAACAUAGCAGUUAUAGUGUAAUUUAGUGCCACUUAUUGUAAAGUGUUACCAAAAGGAUAAUGGAGUUCUUUCUUACCUUUACGAUUCCAUUCAAAUUAAAGGUAAGUUUCUUAAAUUAGCACUGUAAAUCUGGUAUUCCAUUUCUUGAUUAAGGAGGUGAUGUAAAACUUCAUGUUCACACUGCAGCUUUCCCCACCGCUUAUCCAGACUCCUCCAAGUGUCCAAUCUCUACACUCCUAGGAACUGGUAAUCUGUGAUGAGCAUACCAAAAAUCCAGCUGCUUCAACUCGAAUUGAAUAAGCUGUCUAAU
Non-coding RNA from Tinamus guttatus (white-throated tinamou), 736 nucleotides. Lineage: Eukaryota; Metazoa; Chordata; Aves; Tinamiformes; Tinamidae. The record is from RefSeq and is a predicted model, not a curated record.